ACAGGAACCUUAUAUUUUGUGUGUGC
Molecule: non-coding RNA, 26 nt
Filed under: Mus musculus (house mouse)
Lineage: Eukaryota; Metazoa; Chordata; Mammalia; Rodentia; Muridae
Source: RNAcentral